Molecule: non-coding RNA, 2221 nt
Organism: Heterocephalus glaber (naked mole-rat)
Lineage: Eukaryota; Metazoa; Chordata; Mammalia; Rodentia; Bathyergidae
Source: RefSeq, a predicted model, not a curated record
GUCGAGGAGGAAAGUUUAUAGUAAAAAGGCAGGCAGAGGAAAAGAGAAAGCCGGUUGGAUAGGAGACCGAUCAAUUUGUUCUUGUACAAAGAACCCACUCAUUCACUCAGUGUGGUAGCUGCCUACUCCUUUUAUUUAUCCUUCGGAGGCUUAUGCUGAGCCCCUGUUGUGCGGCAAGCAUGUAUGCAUCAGGCACAGAACCUGUACUUCAGGAAUCUGUACUUAUUGCAAAGAAAAGUGCUAUUAAAGUUCAGAAGAGAGGGCCGGGGAUUUAGCUCAGUGGUGGUGCCCCCGCCUGCUUCCGAAGCUCAAAGUCCCGGGUUUGAUCCCAGAUACCCAAAACAAAACAAAAAACUAAAGUUCAGAAGAGAAAGCUAUUAGAUCCAACUGUAUCGAUCCAACUGUAUCGUUAUUCACUCCUUUAUCUAUUAUGUGUCAGAAUGCUGACCCAAGAGGACUUAUGAAGGUGCUCCAGAAAACAGGCUAAGCAUGUGAGGACUGUGUGUGUGUGUGUGUGUGUGUGUAUGUGUGUGUGUGUAAGGUCCUCCAGGGAGCCCAAAGGAGGAGUAAACUGACUUUAUAGCCUUGUUUAUUGGAAAGGAGUGGUCGAUAGGCUAGGACCAGACUUAGAAAAUCUGCAAUGCAUUGUUUUGCUGGUAGGUGAACUGGAUGACUAAAAGACAUAAGAAAAUAUUUUUCACUUCAUAUUCUUCAGUUCUUUAAAAAUUGUAUUAGUUAAUUUUCCAUCCCUGUGACGAAAUACCUAUAGGAUACCUGACACUCACAACUUAAAGGCGAGGCUCAACUCAGUGUAGGGUUUCAGGUUUUAGUCCAUGGUCAGUUGGUUGACUCCAAAGCAUAAAGGGCUUGACGUGGAAGGACAUGACAGAGGAGAGCUGCUCAACUCAAUGGCAGUUAGAAAGCAGAAAAGCAAGAUAGCCAGAGCAAGAGUUAUACCCCCCUUGACCCACCUUAUUCAACUGGGCCCUACCUCCUAAUAGCCCAUUCAGUUAUGAACUCAUCAAUGGAUGAGGUUAGCAACCUCAUGAUCCAAUCACAUUCUGAGAGCCCCACUUCUAAAACCUGAGACUUUUGGAGGACAUUUUAGACCUAACAAGAAUUCUGCACCUACUAAAAAUAGCAUGGAGAUGGAUGAAUACAAGGGAAACAAGGGCAUCAUAUUUGACUAAACUGAAUCAGCAUGGUUCGGGCGCAGAGGAUCCACCUGAAGAUUGUUACCAACAGCCAUAAAAAGAGAACCGGAGAAGAUCUUGGCCAGUUCUGCUAGGCGAAGCUUGCUGCUCCUGAUGCAAACUAGGCUAUUAUCAUUGGAGGAGCUUGGGACCUUGCUGUCAUUGGGAAUGGCUGCUGUUUUCAUCAGGGGAGCUCUGACCUUUACUGUGAGCAUCACUUCCUGGCUCCAAUGUGGAUUCCUCAGCUUGGUGGCACAAAUCCUUCAUCUCACCAGCAUGGAUUUUCUGGCUUCCACCACUGGCCUUUGGGCCUUCCAGGUGUAGAUCCUUAAUAUGGACAAGCAUAAGACAUUGCUGUGGGCUCUAGGCCACUGGCUGGACUCGAGGAUAUUGCCUUGGACUCUUAGCUGGACUUGUGUGGGAAACUGGUGGGAUCUAGGCCCUCAGCUGAAUCCUUUGGGCUUCCAGUGUGUGGUUAAUCUCUUGCACUCCUUUGCAUUUGACUCUUUGGGUAAUUAUCAUAAAAUAAACUUAUAAGUUAUGUGUCCUGUAUUUAAUGUCUUCCCUUGCCGAAUCCUUCUGACUACCAAAAUGACCAACACUUACUUUACCAUAAGUCCUAUUUAAUUCCAAAAGAACAUACAGGGAUGCCAGAUGUGGUGGCACGUGUCUGUAAUCCCAGCACUCUGGGAAGUUGAGGCUGGAAGAACACCAAGUUUGAGCCCAUCCAGGGUAACUUAGCAAGACCCUAUCUCAAAAAAAUUUUUAAAGGGCUGCAGAUGUAUGUUGGUCCAAAGGCCUUCGGUUCAAUCUUCAGUACUGCAAACAACCACCACCACAAAGCCAGGGACUGCUUAUUUUGUGCUCUGCUUCUACUUCGUUAACUUUCACAUUGUCCCAAGCCAUAUUCAGCUGUUGUAUUACAAUCUGGUUUUUAUAAUGAAUAGAUUCAAAAUUUAAUUUAAAAAUCAUUUAAUACAUAAAGUGAAAAACUAGAAUAUAAAAGCAUUUUACAUUUUUAAAACAAA